Haemorhous mexicanus (house finch) is the source of this 582-nucleotide long non-coding RNA. RefSeq lists it as uncharacterized. The transcript has 3 exons. The record is from RefSeq and is a predicted model, not a curated record. NCBI's taxonomy places the organism in Eukaryota, Metazoa, Chordata, Aves, Passeriformes, Fringillidae.
GCCAUGUGGAAGACCAUCAUGGGCUCAGCCAGGACUGUGGAGCUGGUGCAGCUGACACUCCUGGAUGUGCUGGGGAGCUGGCCAGAGCACAGCACGUGCACGUCCGAUGGGGACGAAACGGGUGUCAUUGCCCUGGCUGCAACUGUGGUGAUGUGGAAGAUCCUCCAGGUGCCCUGUAUCCCACGUAUAUUGAAGGUGUAUUUCCCCCGCCUCUUUGUGCAUCUGCUCUUCCAAGUGUUCUUCAGCACUCUGGAUAUGCCAGAGGAGGUCGAUACCUUCUGGAAGGGAUGCCAGGAAGAGCACGGCCUUGCCACCAGCCCAAACAGGUGCUCCAUCCUGUUUCCCUGCCACGUGGCCUGCGAAGGAGCCAGUGCUGCCAGUGUGACCUGGGCUUUGCUCUGCACACAGGUUUGCAGUGCAGACCCUGAAGUCCCUGCUCUGCCUUCUGCGGUGUGAGGAUGUGGUGGUGGCAAUGGAACGCAGGCGUGGCUGGGACACGCUGCUCUCUGUUGACACCCACCACUUUGCUGUGGCUCUGCUGGGCAGAGAAAUUUGCCAAUCAGACAUACACUUUUGUUCCGA